Molecule: unclassified non-coding RNA, 1954 nt
Filed under: Daphnia pulex (common water flea)
Lineage: Eukaryota; Metazoa; Arthropoda; Branchiopoda; Diplostraca; Daphniidae
Description: uncharacterized LOC124208658, transcript variant X2
Source: RNAcentral
CUAUCAUUUACUAUGAUUCCGCAGGCGGUUGUGUGUUUCUACCGUUGCGGAUUGACCUCUUUCCAAGAAGUAACACAGUUUUUUUAACGCAGUUUUUAGUAGAGCAAGGGAAAAGUCCAUACAUCACAGAUGGUGUUGGUCUUUGUGCGAUGGCUAGUUAAACAUUUGGUUUAAUGAAUGGUGUUGGGGAGUGGAGUAAAGUUGAUCACUUACAUGUGUGAAUUUUGCUAUGCAAAACGUUAACAGCAGCCUGAUUACAUAGCUAAACUAGGUAGGCUAAGGAGGUAAAAUAUGACCUCGUUAAAUUUUUAGUAGAGCAAGGGAAAAGUCCAUACAUCACAGAUGAUAAUGGUCUUUGUGCGAUGGCUAGUUAAACCAACCCGUGUCCGACUGCACACGUGCAAUAUACCGCACAAGUCAUGCGCCACUUUUCCUCUCGCUCUUCCCUAUACCGCUAGUGUCGUAUGGUGGGAAACGGCGACAACUCGUUUUCUGUCAACACCAUUCUGGUAGGCAAAAUGUCAGGCAAACCAAACUUAAAAAAGAAAAACACUUUCGAUAGAAGAAAAAAUAGCCAUUUCGCUAAAAAAAAACUUGCUCGUGAUAAAGGAAAAGCAGAUGCUAGACGGAUAAAGCGAAAUCCAUUAAACCUUCAAUUUUUUUCCAGAUAUGGGGAUUUUAAAGAAGAAAAGAAUAAAAAACUUGCAAUAAAAGCUGUCAAUAAAGUUUCUAAAAUGAAAGGAUUAUUCAAUAAAAACCCUGUUGAGGAAAGUGAAACAGACCUUCCGCCUCACCAUGGAAAUGAAAUCGAACAACAACAUUCUUCUACACCUGCAAAUGAUAUUAUGUCCAAGGACAGCUGUGCCAGCAAAGUAUUGUUGUCCUGUUUGGCAAGCGAACCAAAGCUUGAGCCUCAAAGUGAAACUGAUGCUAGUUUGCUAACAAAACGAUUACUUACGGCCCUGUACCGGGAGCGAUUUUAUUCAAAACGUCUCGAUCUUUUUUUGAAAGCUAGGAGUAUGACGGAAGCGGAAGAUCUUCCGAAGUUACAAAAAUUGCUCGAAGAUGAAACCCCCCGAUAUUUAAGCCAUAAUGGAAAAGCGACAUGUCAUCUAUCCGAUCUCCAAUAAGAGCUUGAAGCUAUUCAUUUUGAAAUUUAUACUGUUCACGACGAAAUUAGCAGUGUCGCAAGUAUAAAAAUUUUAAAUUUAGUGGUAAAAAGCUCUUUGAUUGAUUUUUAAGCAGCUGCGUCAAAGUAAAGAACCAAACUGAGGAGACGCCAGACUAUUGAAAGCCAAAGCAAUAAUUAUCAUUAAUGAGAUUAAUGCAAUUUCAAAAUCUUUCAAAGUAACGGCAGAACAUUUUUCCGAAGGGAUUUUCCCGUGGGAUUCUGCACAUGACGAUUGCCAGAUUCUGAAAAAAAGAAACAAAGAACAAAUCCAUCAAUCAAAAACGGAAAUGAGGCAGUUCCUCCAGUCUCUUCAAAACAGCACGUUACUUGCUAAACAGAACGUGAACCACCAUUUGAAGGAAGAAGCAGAACUUAAUAUUUCGAAAUCCGGAAGACUAAUAUUUGUGGAAGUUAACAUGUUAUCUGGAUAUGACGAAGAAUUGUCAUACCUCCGACUGCGAAACCCCCAUUUUCUCUUAAUCUUUGCUUGAUGUUGAUGAAAGUGAUGACUACGACUCCGACACUGAUAGUGAAAAUGACGAUGCUGUGUAGGAUGUUGUGUAAUUUAUUUUUAAGCAGCUUGUGCCUUGUCUAAAUUACAUAAUAUGACUGUACAACUUGGAAUAUAUCAUACUGUACCUGCAUACAACUGUAUCAUCAAUUAUGAAUAUUAUACCGUGGACCGUGUUGAUAAAAUAAACAUGGAUUUUUAUUAUUUGUUUAUAUAAAGAAUGAGUUCUAUAGUAAACGAAGUCGAAACACUUACACUUACAUGAAAUUCGA